AAGACAGCAAGGAGGAAUAUAUGGGAGGAUUUAGAGGUAGGAGAGGGAAGAGGGAAAUGAAUAAUUAUCUCAAAAAAUGUUAACCUUCAUCCCAAUUAACCAUUAGCUUCUAUGUUAACUUCUUGAAAUUAUCAGAUUGGACAAAAUGCAGCAGCCAAAGCAUCCUGUUUAUAAGGAGCACACUGUGAACAAAAGCAUGCUCAAAGCAAAGGAGACCCCAAGUUCCAGCAGAACUCUCUCUUAAAUCGCACCAAUGCCUGACUGAAAAAACAGACAGUUCUUAGGUCUGUCAGACCAAAACCACUGCUGUGUUGUCCCACCUUGCUCAAAUUAGAGGGACAAACAAGCAACAAAGAUGAGUCAUAGCUUACCAGAGCAAAUGCCACCAAAAUUCCACCCAAGGGUGGAAACACUAAGAGAUUAUGAGCUGACCAAUGGAACAUUUUGAGUGAGAACUUCAAGGCAGAGAACAUACAUUUUGUGUUUAACUCUUCAGUCUCUGCUACAGCCACAUUGGGAAGACUGGAGACUCUUCUGGGUGUGGAGAAAGUAAGUUCUAAGAUGUUCCUAAAGCAUAUUAGAGUUUUAUCAAAGCCUAGCUAACCCUUAGGAAGGAAAAAUACCCAAUUGCAUACCCCAUGUUUUUCUCUCCCACCUGAGAUAGGAAAACAAACCGAGAGACAGUUCAGAAGCUCACACACAGCCCAGAGGAGCAGGCCCAAUGAAAGACUGAAACCUGAUCAGAGUGUAGUAGAAACACAUCCAUUCCCAUCUUGAAAUCAGAGUAGCUGAUUACCAACAAAAGACCCUCAUAAGAUGGGGCCUGUUGUCCCCUGAAGUGGGGAACAGGUCAUAAGACCCUCACCUUAAAGGACAGUCAUCAUCAUUCCAGCCCUUCUAUGCCACACUACCAGCUGCAUGUAAACCUGCCCAGCUAAACUUAAUCCCAGGAGAUGCUGCAAUUUAAAGGGAUAAAAAGCUAACUGAAUGGGGAGUCCACCUAGGUGAGGUCAUUCCUUAUCCUGAGGUGGGACUUCUACAAUACAUCUGUUUGGGGUCACCUACACUCCCGUCAUUUACCCUCCACCGCAAUCCUUCUCUAAGCCCAAUAUACUCAUUGGCUCACCAAACUCGACUUGGAUGGAAUUGUUCAUUUAUUCUAUCCCUGGCUCUCUCUCUGGAGUGAGCAGACAUUUGUUCAUGCCUCCUCUGGAAAAGUGGUGAGAGCAUGGCAUCUGGGCAGGGACAUGACAGAAGCAAAGAUGAAUAGAAGGAGUCAUUCCAUUAUCUCUGCUGUGGGUGAUGACACACAUAGCUGCCCAGAGGUGGAGUGUCUGCAAGGCCAGGUCCCUGUGACUGUCCUCCACGUGAUAUGGAAUGGCUUACGGUCUGCUGUAGUAGCAACUGCAGAGGCCCAAAUAUGGACGGUGAAGCACACAGUUGAGGAUUAACUGUCUUGCCCGGAGGGAAGGUCAGAUUGAAGAGUCUACAGAGGAAAUGGGCCAUUUUGUUCUAAGUCCUACGAAGUUGCACACCUUGAUGAAUGUGAGCCACCAAAAGAUACAGAGAUACCAAAACAAAACAACUGUCGGAUGGACCAGAAAAGGGAUUACUGAAUACAGAUGUGGACCAGAGACGUAAGGAACCUGCUUUGGGAGUUACAACCUUGCGAAAGGUAAUAAUGUUACCAGGGAAUCUAAAUCUAUAAAACCACCACAUCUAAGAAAUUAGGGAAAAGUUAGUCAUAGUAAAGGGAGUUGUUUCUAGUUUGAAAAACGAGGAAGAAUAUCCCUUGUUUCUGUUGGCACCAUCUCAGAGUCUGUCAGGCCCUGGGACACAGAGCCGGGUUGGCAGUUAAGAGAGAAUGCAGCCCUGCUCCCCCUUAGCCCAUGCUAGGCAGAAUAACACAAGCUAGACUGGCCAGCCAUUGAGGAUAGGGAGAGUCCCAUAAAACCCAAGCAUGAGGGGGAAAAGGUUCCUAGACUAGAAAGCGUUAAAUAAGGUAGUGCCUGCCAUCUUCUGCACUGCAGGCAAUGUGACUCUUUUGAGAAAAAAACAGAACAGUGAGAUCUUCCCUGCUCAUGCUCUAUUGAGCCUUGCUAACUUCUAAGUACACAUUUUGCCACUGGAUCCUGAUACCAAUGCCUGCUUUCUUAGGAGACCCUACCAAAUGGUUUUAUUAUAUAAUGGUAACCUCUAGGUGUCUUACAGAUGGAGGAGGGCAUCUAAAAUAUGUGCAAGGACUCCUAAAGGAGCAAGUUUCUUCUUCUUUCCUACUAACCCAAAAGUUCAAUUUUAUUAUCACGAUUUGAGUGGCCAACAUGUUGGGCAUAUGUAACUCAAUAUCAACUUCCCAAGCCGCCUUCAGGGUGGGGAAAUAUGGAGUCUAGGCAAAAGCCAGAGAAGCCAGGAAAAGGUUUCUUCAUUCUAAUUCCUGACUCUUCUCUUUCUGGUGGUUAAGGAACCCCAUAGUAUCAGGGACAUUUAGGGCAGAGAGUUCAGAGAAUAUUGGAUGAUCUGGAAAUUGGGUGUAAAUAUGCUUCUAUUCAAAGCAAAUCCAUCCCCAUAGAUUAUGUCUGCCAAUGUAUAGGUCUUUCUUAGGAAUGCAAGAUUUAAGAAGAUUAAAUGAAUGUACAGUGAAAUUUCUCUUAUAACUGAGCAGUGAGCCUGUCAGUCCACAGGAGCAGAGUAUGCCCUCAGAGAUAAAUCAAGGUAGGGCACCGGCAUCUUGGGAACAGAUCUGUGCCAUGCAUUACCUUCUGCUGGCAUUCACAACUGUUCAAAUCUUGCACAAAAAUUCACUCUGCGAGAUACUGGACUCGUCUCUUCCCAAGACUCUGGCAACCUCAGCUGUGCGAGCUUAAGUCUUCAGUGUAAACAGAAGUAAAUCUCCAAAGCCUAAAGAAAAAUGAUGCAGGGGCUGCGAGAGCUGCAGGAGCUGCAGGAGCUCUGGGUGUUCUCAUCCCUGUAGGUCACCACUUUACCUAUGGACCUGCACUGUGGUAGGAAGGAAGACUUCUAAGCAGUUCCAUGGCCAUUCUUGGAUUCCUGAAUUGACUCUAAUUAUCCAGUUAGCUGGGGUAGGCUACUUGUAUCCUCUCUAAGCUCAUAGUUAAUUGUAAACUAGGAGUCAUAAGACUGCUGACAUCUUAAGGCUGCUGUACAAACUAAAUGGGAUAUGGUGUUUCCACUGCAUUUGACCCACAGUAGUUAUUUCACAGGUCUUUUCACUUAAUUGUUUUAGUUCAAAAAACAUUAAGAGGAAAAGUUAUGAAAAGAACUAAAGGCAACAACAGUCAGGAUAUUUAUUGUGGCAGGAAUAUCUUCACCCAUGUAAGUGGCCCAUGAUUAAUAGAUGGAUUGGAAGAAAAGGUGGUAAUUAGGUUCCAUGCUCAUGGAGAAAACAAAUGGUCCUCAAGACAUUGUUAAAGAUGGUAGAAA
This 3441-nucleotide long non-coding RNA is filed under the name Mus musculus (house mouse). RNAcentral's name for it is "long non-coding RNA chr19:16393282-16396723". The record is from RNAcentral. Lineage: Eukaryota; Metazoa; Chordata; Mammalia; Rodentia; Muridae.